This 1318-nucleotide long non-coding RNA is filed under the name Anolis carolinensis (green anole). RNAcentral describes it as "lncRNA (ENSACAG00000039084.1)". The record is from RNAcentral. Lineage: Eukaryota; Metazoa; Chordata; Lepidosauria; Squamata; Anolidae.
CAAUUGAUUCUGAGCAGAUUCGCUUAAAUCAUUUGGCGGCACCCGAAGAGAGACCUGCUUGGGUUGCUUCAAAAAAAAAACGCCUCCAAUUGAUUCUCUCUGGGUCAGUUACUAAUGGACUGGAGGAAAUGAGAGUCUUUGCAGAAGGAAGGGGAAUUCUCUAAGCUUCUUAUCGAGGCCAAGGGGAUCCUAAUAUACAAGAUGAUGGGAAACCCGUUUAAAGUGGGUAAAAUAUUAAGUGCAAAGGGAGACACAUGAGAAAGACACGAACCACCUCUGAUGCCUUACCUGCCGUUGCCAGAACUUCUGAUUUUAGAAUAGCUUGGGAAGUUGCUAAGUGUUGAUGUAGGUCGAUACAGGGAAUGCCGUGGAUGUAGCGUACCUGGAUUUCAGUAAGGCCUUCGACAAAGUCCCCCACGACCUUCUGGCAAACAAACUAGUAAAAUGUGGGCUAGACAAAACUACGGUUAGGUGAGCACCCUUUGGGUUCGUUCGCUUAGCCAAUUACAGAUCCACCUAACCGUAGUUUUGUCUAGCCCACAUUUUACUAGUUUGUUUGCCAGAAGGUCGUGGGGGACUUUGUCGAAGGCCUUACUGAAAUCCAGGUACGCUACAUCCACAGCAUUCCCUGUAUCGACCCAACUCGUAACUCUAUCGAAAAAAGAGAUCAGAUUAGUCUGGCAUGACUUGUUUUUGGUAAAUCCGUGUUGACUAUUAGCAAUGACCGCAUUUGUUUCUAAGUGUUCGCAGACCACUUCCUUAAUGAUCUUUUCCAGAAUUUUGCCUGGUAUUGAUGUGAGGCUGACAGGACGGUAAUUGUUUGGGUCGUUCUUUUUUCCCUUCUUGAAGAUAGGGACCCUUGUAUUCCAAUGGAUGAAGGCCAUCCAGUAGAACUGUUAAAUAGCAAUGUAAACAGGUGUAUUAAAGGAAUGUCAUGACCUUUUCCCACUCAAUGAGUCUCUAGCUAUAGCUGAUGCUUUGAGGAUGUGCGGGGUCACGUUUGGAUGUGUGUGAGUGUUCAAAAGAAGCCUUGUUUUCAUUUAAUCUUAGGCAGCCUCUAUCUACAGGAUAAUUAUUAUUCUGCAUUGCCUAUUAACCUACUUAAAGGUUACCCAGGUAAUUGACACUAAUCAUAUGAAAUCUCAUUAUCGGGAUAAUAAUUUAAUCAUCUAGGCUCUCAGCUGAUGACCAGUGAUUCUGAAGAGGGAACCGAACUGGAAAACAACAAAAACAAUCCAUUGACAGGUAUCAUAAAUCAAAAACAAAACAUAACACACAACCAUUGCCUAUAACAGCACCAAAAUCUUCAGCAAAAACG